UACAGAGGGUGCAAGCGUUAUUCGGAAUUACUGGGCGUAAAGCGUGCGUAGACGGUUAUUUAAGUCAGGUGUGAAAGCCCCGGGCUCAACCUGGGAAUUGCAUUUGAGACUGAAUAGCUAGGGUGCGGAAGAGGGAAGCGGAAUUUCCGGUGUAGCGGUGAAAUGCGUAGAUAUCGGAAGGAACACCAGUGGCGAAGGCGGCUCGCUGGGCCAUUCCUGACGCUGAGACGCGAAAGCUAGGGGAGCGAACAGG
This 253-nucleotide ribosomal RNA is filed under the name uncultured bacterium. Its description in RNAcentral is "partial 16S ribosomal RNA". It matches the Rfam family "Bacterial small subunit ribosomal RNA", at positions 524 to 776 of the family's 1533-position model. The record is from RNAcentral.